Molecule: ribosomal RNA, 132 nt
Filed under: Jenkinsia lamprotaenia (dwarf round herring)
Lineage: Eukaryota; Metazoa; Chordata; Actinopteri; Clupeiformes; Clupeidae
Description: partial 16S ribosomal RNA
Source: RNAcentral
GCUAAAAUGCUAGCUUAAACAGCGAGAUUAGCCACCCCCUAUUCGUACUCGCCCAUAAAUCAAAGCCCACAACUAAAGCAUUCUACCACCCCAGUACGGGAGACAGAAAAGGACCCCAAAGCCAUAGAGAAA